RNAcentral lists this ribosomal RNA (253 nucleotides) under uncultured bacterium. RNAcentral describes it as "partial 16S ribosomal RNA". It matches the Rfam family "Bacterial small subunit ribosomal RNA", at positions 524 to 776 of the family's 1533-position model. The record is from RNAcentral.
UACGUAGGGGGCAAGCGUUGUCCGGAAUCAUUGGGCGUAAAGAGCGUGUAGGCGGCCCGGUAAGUCCGCUGUGAAAGUCCAGGGCUCAACCCUGGGAUGCCGGUGGAUACUGUCGGGCUCGAGUCCGGAAGAGGAGUGUGGAAUUCCUGGUGUAGCGGUGAAAUGCGCAGAUAUCAGGAGGAACACCGGUGGUGUAAACGGCUUUCUGGACCGUAACUGACGCUGAGGCACGAAAGCGUGGGUAGCAAACAGG